Long non-coding RNA from Medicago truncatula (barrel medic), 397 nucleotides. RefSeq lists it as uncharacterized. Lineage: Eukaryota; Viridiplantae; Streptophyta; Magnoliopsida; Fabales; Fabaceae. The record is from RefSeq and is a predicted model, not a curated record. The transcript has 2 exons.
UAUUUGCAACUAUGGAGGCUCAAAUGACAGCACUUGUUGGCUACAUUAAAGCGAAGGAAGGUGGUUCACUGCCUCCAGAGUUAGCUGCUGCCUUAUUUCCCAAUGAUACACAAUAGGCAUCAAACGUAGGAAGUGAAUCUCCAACACCCAAUGACAUAACUAGAUCAUCAGAUGAAAGCAACGCAAGUGGAGCAUGAGAGUCCUAAUUUUAGUGACAUCAGUUGUCUAGUCAUUUUUAUGUUUUGAAACUUGUUAUUUUGAGAAUAGCUAAAGAUGGUGGCAAUGGUUUGUGUAACUUUAUGUUUGGAGACUUGUUUAUAUUUGAGACUUAUUUUAGAUAUUUGUAUCAAACUCCACUUGAGUUGAAUUAUAAAUAUAUCAAUGACAAUGUUUAAAA